AUCUUUUUCUCUUUCACUCACAGCCGUGGCUAAUUGACCUAACUGUAUCUCUAAACGGGCAAUAGCCUGGGUGUUGGAAGUUAAAAGCAGGCUCGUGGUCUACGUGAAGUUGUUUAGUGUAAUGUUGGUGUUAGCAGUCAAUUUUGCUAAGAUUUUUAGACUCUUUUCUAGCGAGUUAAGUCUUUGAUCAUUACUGAAAUCUGAUAGGUUAUUUGAUGAUUGAGUGAAUCUGGGGUU
RNAcentral lists this long non-coding RNA (237 nucleotides) under Elaeis guineensis (African oil palm). RNAcentral's name for it is "long non-coding RNA (EGUI_LNC037742)". The record is from RNAcentral. Lineage: Eukaryota; Viridiplantae; Streptophyta; Magnoliopsida; Arecales; Arecaceae.